This 245-nucleotide ribosomal RNA is filed under the name uncultured Eubacteriales bacterium. RNAcentral's name for it is "uncultured Clostridiales bacterium partial 16S ribosomal RNA". It matches the Rfam family "Bacterial small subunit ribosomal RNA", at positions 796 to 1041 of the family's 1533-position model. The record is from RNAcentral. Lineage: Bacteria; Bacillati; Bacillota; Clostridia; Eubacteriales.
CUAGCCGUAAACGAUGGGUACUAGGUGUAGGAGGUUUCGAUACCUUCUGUGCCGCAGUUAACGCAAUAAGUACCCCGCCUGGGGAGUACGUGCGCAAGCAUGAAACUCAAAGGAAUUGACGGGGGCCCGCACAAGCGGUGGAGCAUGUGGUUUAAUUCGAAGCAACGCGAAGAACCUUACCAGGUCUUGACAUCCCUUGAUAAUCUCAGAGAUGAGACAUCUCUUCGGAGCAAGGAGACAGGUGG